This 365-nucleotide unclassified non-coding RNA is filed under the name Hevea brasiliensis (rubber tree). Lineage: Eukaryota; Viridiplantae; Streptophyta; Magnoliopsida; Malpighiales; Euphorbiaceae. The record is from RNAcentral.
GUUUUUUUUUUUUUUUUGGUUUGGCAAUAUUCUCGCUUAAAAUUAUCUCUAUUUUCUUGUAUGGUUGAUUUUUCAGUGGUUCAGAUUGCAGAAUUCAAAACUUUCUAUCAAUUAGCCAUUUUGUUUGUAUUGGAAGAAAAAAUGGAACUUGGAUUCUGAAAUGAUUGAAAUGGUUUCAUUGAGACGAGUGGAAACUUCCCACAAGAUCACCCUUGUAUGGUAACCAAUUCAUAUAUUGAAACAGGUUGUGUACUCGGAUUGAAUUAGACGAGGUAAUUGAGAAAUGAAGCAGGACAUGCGAAUGAAGUCAUAAAUGGUUGGAUUUUAUCACACAGAUUUUCUUUUGGUUUGUCACUUUCAAAAUA